GGGAGGCAGCAGUAAGGAAUAUUGGACAAUGGGGGCAACCCUGAUCCAGCCAUCCCGCGUGUAGGAAGACGGCCCUAUGGGUUGUAAACUACUUUUACUAGGGAAGAAUGUGUGAUAUUUAUAUCAUUUUGACGGUACCUAGAGAAUAAGCACCGGCUAACUCCGUGCCAGCAGCCGCGGUAAUACGGAGGGUGCGAGCGUUAUCCGGAAUCACUGGGUUUAAAGGGUGCGUAGGCGGCGUUGUAAGUCAGAGGUGAAAGGCACGAGCUUAACUGGUGAAUUGCCUUUGAUACUGCAGUGCUUGAAUUGAGUUGAGGUUAGCGGAAUGUGACAUGUAGCGGUGAAAUGCAUAGAUAUGUCAUAGAACACCAAUUGCGUAGGCAGCUAGCUAGGCUUUAAUUGACGCUGAGGCACGAAAGCGUGGGGAGCGAACAGGAUUAGAUACCCUGGUAGUCCACGCCCUAAACGAUGUUUACUCGAUGUUUGGACAGUAAGUUUGAGCAUCCAAGGGAAACCAUUAAGUAAACCACCUGGGGAGUACGUCGGCAACGAUGAAACUCAAA
Molecule: ribosomal RNA, 563 nt
Filed under: uncultured bacterium
Lineage: Bacteria
Description: bacterial SSU rRNA
Rfam family: Bacterial small subunit ribosomal RNA
Source: RNAcentral